This 353-nucleotide ribosomal RNA is filed under the name Staphylococcus aureus. RNAcentral describes it as "partial 23S ribosomal RNA". It matches the Rfam family "Bacterial large subunit ribosomal RNA", at positions 12 to 358 of the family's 2925-position model. The record is from RNAcentral. Lineage: Bacteria; Bacillati; Bacillota; Bacilli; Caryophanales; Staphylococcaceae.
UAAGGGCGCACGGUGGAUGCCUUGGCACUAGAAGCCGAUGAAGGACGUUACUAACGACGAUAUGCUUUGGGGAGCUGUAAGUAAGCUUUGAUCCAGAGAUUUCCGAAUGGGGAAACCCAGCAUGAGUUAUGUCAUGUUAUCGAUAUGUGAAUACAUAGCAUAUCAGAAGGCACACCCGGAGAACUGAAACAUCUUAGUACCCGGAGGAAGAGAAAGAAAAUUCGAUUCCCUUAGUAGCGGCGAGCGAAACGGGAAGAGCCCAAACCAACAAGCUUGCUUGUUGGGGUUGUAGGACACUCUAUACGGAGUUACAAAGGACGACAUUAGACGAAUCAUCUGGAAAGAUGAAUCAA